RNAcentral lists this ribosomal RNA (253 nucleotides) under uncultured bacterium. RNAcentral describes it as "partial 16S ribosomal RNA". It matches the Rfam family "Bacterial small subunit ribosomal RNA", at positions 524 to 776 of the family's 1533-position model. The record is from RNAcentral.
GACAGCGGGUGCGAGCGUUGUCCGGAGUCACUGGGCGUAAAGCGCGCGCAGGCGGCAACCUUAGUGUCGUGUGAAAGCCCCCGGCUCAACCGGGGGAGGCCAUGGCAAACUGGGUCGCUCGAGCUGCGGAGAGGCCCCUCGAAUUGCCGGUGUAGCGGUGAAAUGCGUAGAGAUCGGCAGGAAGACCAAGGGGGAAGCCAGGGGGCUGGCCGCAGGCUGACGCUGAGGCGCGACAGCGUGGGGAGCAAACCGG